UCCCUAGUGGCUCAGUGGUAAAGAAUCUGCCUGCCAAUGCAGGAGAUGCAGGUUCAAUCCCUGGAUGGGGAA
This 72-nucleotide transfer RNA is filed under the name Bos taurus (domestic cattle). It matches the Rfam family "tRNA". Rfam says of the family: Transfer RNA (tRNA) molecules are approximately 80 nucleotides in length. Their secondary structure includes four short double-helical elements and three loops (D, anti-codon, and T loops). Further hydrogen bonds mediate the characteristic L-shaped molecular structure. tRNAs have two regions of fundamental functional importance: the anti-codon, which is responsible for specific mRNA codon recognition, and the 3' end, to which the tRNAs corresponding amino acid is attached (by aminoacyl-tRNA synthetases). tRNAs cope with the degeneracy of the genetic code in two manners: having more than one tRNA (with a specific anti-codon) for a particular amino acid; and 'wobble' base-pairing, i.e. permitting non-standard base-pairing at the 3rd anti-codon position. Lineage: Eukaryota; Metazoa; Chordata; Mammalia; Artiodactyla; Bovidae. The record is from Rfam by way of RNAcentral.